RNAcentral lists this transfer RNA (70 nucleotides) under Camelus bactrianus (Bactrian camel). It matches the Rfam family "tRNA". From Rfam's summary of the family: Transfer RNA (tRNA) molecules are approximately 80 nucleotides in length. Their secondary structure includes four short double-helical elements and three loops (D, anti-codon, and T loops). The record is from Rfam by way of RNAcentral. Lineage: Eukaryota; Metazoa; Chordata; Mammalia; Artiodactyla; Camelidae. RNAcentral also lists the same sequence under 2 other names.
GGUAAUAGCUCAGUGGUAGAGCACACGCUUAGCGUGUGUGAGGUCCUGGGUUUUAUCCCCAGUACUUCCA